GAUGAACGCUGGCGGCGUGCCUAAUACAUGCAAGUCGAACGCUUCACUUCGUUGAAGAGUGGCGAACGGGUGAGUAAUACAUAAGUAACCUGGCAUCUACAGGGGGAUAACUGAUGGAAACGUCAGCUAAGACCGCAUAGGUGUAGAGAUCGCAUGAACUCUAUAUGAAAAGUGCUACGGGACUGGUAGAUGAUGGACUUAUGGCGCAUUAGCUGGUUGGUAGGGUAACGGCCUACCAAGGCGACGAUGCGUAGCCGACCUGAGAGGGUGACCGGCCACACUGGGACUGAGACACGGCCCAGACUCCUACGGGAGGCAGCAGUAGGGAAUUUUCGGCAAUGGGGGAAACCCUGACCGAGCAACGCCGCGUGAAGGAAGAAGUAAUUCGUUAUGUAAACUUCUGUCAUAGAGGAAGAACGGUGGAUAUAGGGAAUGAUAUCCAAGUGACGGUACUCUAUAAGAAA
RNAcentral lists this ribosomal RNA (464 nucleotides) under uncultured bacterium. RNAcentral's name for it is "bacterial SSU rRNA". It matches the Rfam family "Bacterial small subunit ribosomal RNA", at positions 28 to 489 of the family's 1533-position model. The record is from RNAcentral.